RNAcentral lists this ribosomal RNA (490 nucleotides) under uncultured bacterium. Its description in RNAcentral is "partial 16S ribosomal RNA". It matches the Rfam family "Bacterial small subunit ribosomal RNA", at positions 30 to 507 of the family's 1533-position model. The record is from RNAcentral.
AUUGAACGCUGGCGGCAGGCCUAACACAUGCAAGUCGAAUGGUAACAGGAAACAGCUUGCUGUUUCGCUGACGAGUGGCGGACGGGUGAGUAAUGUCUGGGAAACUGCCUGAUGGAGGGGGAUAACUACUGGAAACGGAAGCUAAUACCGCAUAACGUCGCAAGACCAAAGAGGGGGACCUUCGGGCCUCUUGCCAUCAGAUGUGCCCAGAUGGGAUUAGCUAGUAGGUGGGGUAACGGCUCACCUAGGCGACGAUCCCUAGCUGGUCUGAGAGGAUGACCAGCCACACUGGAACUGAGACACGGUCCAGACUCCUACGGGAGGCAGCAGUGGGGAAUAUUGCACAAUGGGCGCAAGCCUGAUGCAGCCAUGCCGCGUGUAUGAAGAAGGCCUUCGGGUUGUAAAGUACUUUCAGCGGGGAGGAAGGGAGUAAAGUUAAUACCUUUGCUCAUUGACGUUACCCGCAGAAGAAGCACCGGCUAACUCCGUG